GAUGAAGAACGUAGUAAAAUGCGAUAAGUAAUGUGAAUUGCAGAAUUCAGUGAAUCAUCGAAUCUUUGAACGCACAUUGCGCCCGCCAGUAUUCUGGCGGGCAUGCCUGUUCGAGCGUCAUUUCAACCAUCAAGCCCCCCGGCUUGUGUUGGGGACCUGCGGCUGCCGCAGGCCCUGAAAAGCAGUGGCGGGCUCGCUGUCACACCGAGCGUAGUAGAUCUCAUCUCGCUCAGGGCGUGCUGCGGGUUCCGGCCGUUAAACCACCUUCAUAACCCAAGGUUGACCUCGGAUCAGGUAGGAAGACCCGCUGAACUUAAGCAUAUCAAUAAGCGGAGGA
RNAcentral lists this unclassified non-coding RNA (337 nucleotides) under soil metagenome. RNAcentral describes it as "partial contains 5.8S ribosomal RNA, internal transcribed spacer 2, and large subunit ribosomal RNA". The stretch from base 1 to 120 matches the Rfam family "5.8S ribosomal RNA", at positions 35 to 154 of the family's 154-position model. The record is from RNAcentral.